CGGCCUGGGCUGCCGGGGCCGACGCCUGGGUGGCUGCUGCCGCCGCGCCUGCUGCGAGAUGGCGAUCUUGGGCGCGGAAGGGUGAGGGCGCCCGCCGCAGGAGGAGGUGCCGCUGCCGUGGCCGCCCGGCUGCCGGGAGCCGACAGCUUCGCGCCGGGGUUGUCUCCUCACAGACUAUGAGCUCCUUGAAAGAGGGAAUCGUGUCUUACUCAUCUUUGUAUCCCCAGUGUCUAGCAGUUCCUGAUACAUAGUUUUAGCUGAAUUUUGGGACAUGGCCACUGCUUCACCAAGGUCUGAUACUAGUAAUAACCACAGUGGAAGGUUGCAGUUACAGGUAACUGUUUCUAGUGCCAAACUUAAAAGAAAAAAGAACUGGUUCGGAACAGCAAUAUAUACAGAAGUAGUUGUAGAUGGAGAAAUUACGAAAACAGCAAAAUCCAGUAGUUCUUCUAAUCCAAAAUGGGAUGAACAGCUAACUGUAAAUGUUACGCCACAGACUACAUUGGAAUUUCAAGUUUGGAGCCAUCGCACUUUAAAAGCAGAUGCUUUAUUAGGAAAAGCAACGAUAGAUUUGAAACAAGCUCUGUUGAUACACAAUAGAAAAUUUCUAGGAUCUGGAAGUCCAAGAUCAAGAUGCCAGCAGGUUCGAGUUUGGAGAGGAUCCAGUUCCUGUUUCCAAGAUGGCACCUUGUUGCUGCAUCCUCUGAAGGGGAUGAACACUGUCCUCACAUGGCAAAAGGGACAGAAAAGGGCACACCCACUCACUCAAGUUCUUUUAUAAAGGCCCUAAUUCCAU
RNAcentral lists this small RNA (796 nucleotides) under Pan troglodytes (chimpanzee). RNAcentral's name for it is "processed transcript". Lineage: Eukaryota; Metazoa; Chordata; Mammalia; Primates; Hominidae. The record is from RNAcentral.